This 454-nucleotide ribosomal RNA is filed under the name Acidiphilium rubrum. RNAcentral describes it as "bacterial SSU rRNA". It matches the Rfam family "Bacterial small subunit ribosomal RNA", at positions 22 to 516 of the family's 1533-position model. Lineage: Bacteria; Pseudomonadati; Pseudomonadota; Alphaproteobacteria; Acetobacterales; Acidocellaceae. The record is from RNAcentral.
GCUCAGAGCGAACGCUGGCGGCAUGCUUAACACAUGCAAGUCGCACGGGCAGUAGCAAUACUGUCAGUGGCGGACGGGUGAGUAACGCGUAGGAAUCUAUCCUUGGAUGGGGGACAACCGUGGGAAACUACGGCUAAUACCGCAUAAUGCCUGAGGGCCAAAGACGUAAGUCGUCUGGGGAGGAGCCUGCGUCUGAUUAGGUAGUUGGUGGGGUAAAGGCCUACCAAGCCUGCGAUCAGUAGCUGGUCUGAGAGGAUGAUCAGCCACAUUGGGACUGAGACACGGCCCAAACNUCUACGGGAGGCAGCAGUGGGGAAUAUUGGACAAUGGGGGCAACCCUGAUCCAGCAAUGCCGCGUGGGUGAAGAAGGUUUUCGGAUUGUAAAGCCCUUUUGGCGGGGACGAUGAUGACGGUACCCGCAGAAUAAGCUCCGGCUAACUUCGUGCCAGCAGCA